This is a long non-coding RNA of Parambassis ranga (Indian glassy fish), 391 nucleotides long. Lineage: Eukaryota; Metazoa; Chordata; Actinopteri; Ambassidae. The record is from Ensembl.
GAUUGAUGUCAACACUCUGUGUACCUGCACCGCUGGGAAGGUUACAUGCCAAGCUAACAUCAAAAGUGGAGGGUGUCAGCCAGAUGGUACAAUUGAGAAUGUGUCCUACAACCCAGACAACUGUCAGCCAAGUUCGUGUAGGGGUGAUGCCAGUGAUUGCUCUCCCCAGCCAUGCCCUUCGCAAGACUGCACACAGACAGAGCCUGCACCUGGAGGCUGCCGAAGUUGUAUCCAUUUUGGUGUCCAGUAUGAGAGUGGAGCAGAGUGGAGGCCCUUAGAGAACCCUUGUGAUGUCUGUCACUGUGUGGAAGGUCGCGUUCGCUGUGAGAGGGAGCACUGUGACACCCCUUGUAAAAACCCUACUGCUCCUCCACCCGGUUCCUGCUGUCCA